AGUGAACGUUGGCGGCGUGGAUUAGGCAUGCAAGUCGAGCGAGAACCGUAGCAAUACGGGGACAGCGGCGAAAGGGACAGUAAUAUGUAGGUACCUACCCUCGGGUCCGGGAUAGCUGCGGGAAACUGCAGGUAAUACCGGAUGACAUCUCCGGAUCAAAGGUGUGAUUCCGCCCGGGGAGGGGCCUGCAUCCUAUUAGCUAGUUGGUGGGGUAACGGCUCACCAAGGCGACGAUGGGUAGCGGGUGUGAGAGCAUGACCCGCGUCAUUGGGACUGAGACACUGCCCAGACACCUACGGGUGGCUGCAGUCGAGAAGCUUCGGCAAUGGGGGAAACCCUGACCGAGCGACGCCGCGUGCGGGAUGAAGGCCCUCGGGUUGUAAACCGCUGUCGUAGAGGAGGAAAUGCAGGGGGGUUCUCCCCUCUGUUUGACCUAGUCUAGGAGGAAGGACGGGCUAAGUUCGUGCCAGCCGCCGCGGUAA
This 482-nucleotide ribosomal RNA is filed under the name uncultured bacterium. Its description in RNAcentral is "partial 16S ribosomal RNA". It matches the Rfam family "Bacterial small subunit ribosomal RNA", at positions 30 to 523 of the family's 1533-position model. The record is from RNAcentral.